Molecule: ribosomal RNA, 463 nt
Filed under: uncultured bacterium
Lineage: Bacteria
Description: partial 16S ribosomal RNA
Rfam family: Bacterial small subunit ribosomal RNA
Source: RNAcentral
GACGAACGCUGGCGGCGUGCUUAACACAUGCAAGUCGAACGGAAAGGCCUUUUCGGAGGUACUCGAGUGGCGAACGGGUGAGUAACACGUGGGUGAUCUGCCCUGCACUCUGGGAUAAGCCUGGGAAACUGGGUCUAAUACCGGAUAGGACCGCACUUUAGUGUGUGUGGUGGAAAGUUUUUUCGGUGUAGGAUGAGCCCGCGGCCUAUCAGCUUGUUGGUGGGGUAAUGGCCUACCAAGGCGGCGACGGGUAGCCGGACUGAGAGGUUGGUCGGCCACAUUGGGACUGAGAUACGGCCCAGACUCCUACGGGAGGCAGCAGUGGGGGAUAUUGCACAAUGGGCGCAAGCCUGAUGCAGCGACGCCGCGUGGGGGAUGACGGCCUUCGGGUUGUAAACUCCUUUCGCCAGGGACGAAGCGUUUUGUGACGGUACCUGGAGAAGAAGCACCGGCUAACUACGUG